This 289-nucleotide ribosomal RNA is filed under the name uncultured bacterium. RNAcentral describes it as "partial 16S ribosomal RNA". It matches the Rfam family "Bacterial small subunit ribosomal RNA", at positions 773 to 1060 of the family's 1533-position model. The record is from RNAcentral.
GUGGAUUAGAUACCCUGGUAGUCCACGCCCUAAACGAUGCAUAUUUGGUGUGGGCCAUUCAUUUGGUCUGUGCCGGAGCUAACGCGUUAAAUAUGCCGCCUGGGGAGUACAGUCGCAAGGCUGAAACUCAAAGGAAUUGACGGGGGCCCGCACAAGCGGUGGAGCAUGUGGUUUAAUUCGACGCAACGCGAAGAACCUUACCUGGGCUCGAAAUGCUUACGACCAUCUCUGGAAACAGGGACUUCCCGCAAGGGACGUGAGUAUAGGUGCUGCACGGCUGUCGCCAACU